Molecule: transfer RNA, 91 nt
Filed under: Metaclostridioides mangenotii
Lineage: Bacteria; Bacillati; Bacillota; Clostridia; Peptostreptococcales; Peptostreptococcaceae
Description: tRNA-Ser
Rfam family: tRNA
About the family: Transfer RNA (tRNA) molecules are approximately 80 nucleotides in length.
Source: RNAcentral
GGAGAGAUGGCCGAGUUGGUCGAAGGCGCACGCCUGGAAAGCGUGUAUACAGGAAACUGUAUCGUGGGUUCAAAUCCCACUCUUUCCGCCA